RNAcentral lists this transfer RNA (72 nucleotides) under Camelus bactrianus (Bactrian camel). It matches the Rfam family "tRNA". From Rfam's summary of the family: Transfer RNA (tRNA) molecules are approximately 80 nucleotides in length. Their secondary structure includes four short double-helical elements and three loops (D, anti-codon, and T loops). Further hydrogen bonds mediate the characteristic L-shaped molecular structure. tRNAs have two regions of fundamental functional importance: the anti-codon, which is responsible for specific mRNA codon recognition, and the 3' end, to which the tRNAs corresponding amino acid is attached (by aminoacyl-tRNA synthetases). tRNAs cope with the degeneracy of the genetic code in two manners: having more than one tRNA (with a specific anti-codon) for a particular amino acid; and 'wobble' base-pairing, i.e. permitting non-standard base-pairing at the 3rd anti-codon position. RNAcentral also lists the same sequence under 2 other names. The record is from Rfam by way of RNAcentral. Lineage: Eukaryota; Metazoa; Chordata; Mammalia; Artiodactyla; Camelidae.
GUGAGUAUAGCUCAGUGGUAGAGCACAUGCUUAGCAUGCAUGAGGUCCUGGGUUCAAUCCUCAGUACCUCUA